Nothobranchius furzeri (turquoise killifish) is the source of this 615-nucleotide non-coding RNA. The record is from RefSeq and is a predicted model, not a curated record. Lineage: Eukaryota; Metazoa; Chordata; Actinopteri; Cyprinodontiformes; Nothobranchiidae.
UGGGUCGGGUGUAUCCUUCAAUAGGUAGCAUUUCCCAAGAUGCCUUGCGGGCCGGCCGGCAGAAAAACUUAAAAACAAUGGCGGACAGUGAAGCGGGAGCUGUCGGAGAGGAUUGCGCAUAUAAAUGUAAGUAUAAACUUGAAAACUGUCAGUUUAAGGACUUUUUGUGAUACAUGAACGUUAUUUUAGUUAGAAAUGUUACAGUAAAAGUGCUUGUAUUGCGGUCUCGGCUCGUAUGUUCGGCCGCGCUCGGUGUCGUACUUCUCCCACUACGUUUCCCCCUGAUUUUAAUAGAAGUUUGUAUUUUAGGACCAAAAGAGAAAACCAGGGAAUUUAUUAAGCUUAGGGCGGAGAUGGACCACAUGAUCACCGGAGCAAAGUAUUCGGCGGCUGUGGCAUGGAGACUAUUCUGGAGAAAAUGGGCAUCCAGGGGAAGGUGCCAGCGAUGAGCUUCUGGAGCUGAUCUGGGAGGACAUGAGGCUGCAGAGCAGCAGAGAGCACAGGAGAGAAGGAAGAACUUUGACAGCUUUUUACUUUGCUAGAAAAAAAUGGUUAAUGAAGAUUAAACAUGUACAUGUAAAAGAAAUAUCUAAAUAAAAUCAGUUCUGCAUUAAA